UGGGGAAUUUUGGACAAUGGGCGCAAGCCUGAUCCAGCCAUGCCGCGUGCGGGAAGAAGGCCUUCGGGUUGUAAACCGCUUUUGGCAGGAACGAAACGGCGCGAGCGAAUAUCUCGCGUUAAUGACGGUACCUGCAGAAUAAGCACCGGCUAACUACGUG
RNAcentral lists this ribosomal RNA (160 nucleotides) under uncultured bacterium. Its description in RNAcentral is "partial 16S ribosomal RNA". It matches the Rfam family "Bacterial small subunit ribosomal RNA", at positions 355 to 507 of the family's 1533-position model. The record is from RNAcentral.